RNAcentral lists this long non-coding RNA (309 nucleotides) under Vigna radiata. RNAcentral describes it as "long non-coding RNA (VRAD_LNC001747)". The record is from RNAcentral. Lineage: Eukaryota; Viridiplantae; Streptophyta; Magnoliopsida; Fabales; Fabaceae.
AGAAAAAUUGGUUUUUCCGGAAUACAAAAUCCUUGAGUUAAAAGAGCUUUCAUAAUAUUUAACAAUUAAGCACAACUCUCUUCCUCACCAAUCUCACUCAUUCCCAACUUUUUCCCCUUUUCUUUUCUUUUUCAUUGAGCUCAUCUUCAUGCUUUUUCUUCUUUUCUUUUCUUUUUCUCAUGAUUUUUUUUUUCUUCUUUUCACAACAUUUGAGCUCAAUGCGUUUCACUUGCUUUUUCAAUUUUCCCCCGUACAACCCCAAACUUAAACCUUUUCAUCACAAACAAUUAAGCUCAUCCUAACUCAAGG